Molecule: small nuclear RNA, 159 nt
Filed under: Cricetulus griseus (Chinese hamster)
Lineage: Eukaryota; Metazoa; Chordata; Mammalia; Rodentia; Cricetidae
Description: 7SK RNA
Rfam family: 7SK RNA
About the family: 7SK was discovered as an abundant small nuclear RNA in the mid-70s but a possible function has only recently been suggested.
Source: Rfam by way of RNAcentral
AGAUGUGAGGGCGAUCUGGCUGCAACAUCUGUCACUCCAUUGAUCGCCAGGGUUGAUUCGGCUGAUCUGACUGGCUAGGCGGGUGGCCCCUUCCUCUCUCACCUCUCCGUGUGUGCUUGGUCGAAGAGGACGACCUUCCCCGAAUAGAAGAGGGCGGGU